AGUGAACGCUGGCGGUAGGCCUAACACAUGCCAGUCGAACGGCAGCACAGUAAGAGCUUGCUCUUACGGGUGGCGAGUGGCGGACGGGUGAGGAAUACAUCGGAAUCUACUUUUUCGUGGGGGAUAGCGUAGGGAAACUUACGCUAAUACCGCAUACGACCUACGGGUGAAAGCAGGGGAUCUUCGGACCUUGCGCGAUUGAAUGAGCCGAUGUCGGAUUAGCUAGUUGGCGGGGUAAAGGCCCACCAAGGCGACGAUCCGUAGCUGGUCUGAGAGGAUGGUCAGCCACACUGGAACUGAGAAACAGCACAGACUCCUACGGGGAGCAACAGUGGAGAAUAUUAGGCAAUGGACGAAAGCGUGAUCCAGCCAUACCGCGUGGGUGAAGAAGGCCUUCGGGUUGUAAAGCCCUGUUGUUGGGAAAGAAAAGCAGCAGGUUAAUACCCCGCUGUUCUGACAGUACCCGAAGAAUAAGCACCGGCUAACUUCGUG
RNAcentral lists this ribosomal RNA (492 nucleotides) under uncultured bacterium. Its description in RNAcentral is "partial 16S ribosomal RNA". It matches the Rfam family "Bacterial small subunit ribosomal RNA", at positions 29 to 507 of the family's 1533-position model. The record is from RNAcentral.